RNAcentral lists this unclassified non-coding RNA (338 nucleotides) under soil metagenome. Its description in RNAcentral is "partial contains 5.8S ribosomal RNA, internal transcribed spacer 2, and large subunit ribosomal RNA". The stretch from base 1 to 120 matches the Rfam family "5.8S ribosomal RNA", at positions 35 to 154 of the family's 154-position model. The record is from RNAcentral.
GAUGAAGAACGCAGCGAAAUGCGAUAAGUAGUGUGAAUUGCAGAAUUCAGUGAAUCAUCGAAUCUUUGAACGCACAUUGCGCCUUCUGGUAUUCCGGAAGGCAUGCCUGUUCGAGCGUCAUUACAACCCUUAAGCCUAGCUGCUUAGCGUUGGGAACUUAGCCUCCAAAGCUAAUUCCUUAAAGACAUUGGCAGAGUUGCGGCAUACUCUAAGCGUAGUAAUUUAUUCUCGCUUCUGAAGGUGUCGUGACGAUCGCCACAAACCUCUAUAUUUCUAGUGGUUGACCUCGGAUCAGGUAGGAAUACCCGCUGAACUUAAGCAUAUCAAUAAGCGGAGGA